UGUGUAAGCGCUGUGAGGCGUUGAGCUAACCAAUACUAAUUGCCCGUGAGGCUUGACCAUAUAACACCCAAACA
Molecule: ribosomal RNA, 74 nt
Filed under: Ectopseudomonas mendocina
Lineage: Bacteria; Pseudomonadati; Pseudomonadota; Gammaproteobacteria; Pseudomonadales; Pseudomonadaceae
Description: Pseudomonas mendocina partial 23S ribosomal RNA
Source: RNAcentral